AGUAACGGCGAGUGAAGCGGCAACAGCUCAAAUUUGAAAUCUGGCGUCUUCGACGUCCGAGUUGUAAUUUGCAGAGGGCGCUUUGGCAUUGGCAGCGGUCCAAGUUCCUUGGAACAGGACGUCACAGAGGGUGAGAAUCCCGUACGUGGUCGCUAGCCUUUACCUUAUAAAGCCCCUUCAACGAGUCGAGUUGUUUGGGA
Molecule: ribosomal RNA, 200 nt
Filed under: Didymella heteroderae
Lineage: Eukaryota; Fungi; Ascomycota; Dothideomycetes; Pleosporales; Didymellaceae
Description: partial large subunit ribosomal RNA
Rfam family: Eukaryotic large subunit ribosomal RNA
Source: RNAcentral